RNAcentral lists this long non-coding RNA (1474 nucleotides) under Mus musculus (house mouse). Its description in RNAcentral is "long non-coding RNA chr5:144158877-144160351". Lineage: Eukaryota; Metazoa; Chordata; Mammalia; Rodentia; Muridae. The record is from RNAcentral.
AGAACCUUGGAACCAUUGGCAGCUGUUACAUGCUUUUUAAAGUGACUGCUUCGGGCUGGCUGUGUGAUAGCUUAGCUGGUAAAGAACUUACAGGGCCAGAGUUUGACCCCUUGUUUUUUAUUUAUUUAAUUUAUUGUCCAAAAUAUAUAUCUAUCUUGGUUUUUUAUGUAUAUGAGUGUUUGCCUGUGUGUAUGUAAGGCCAGACUCACACACUGGCCUCAGAGACCUGAGAGGGCAUUGGAUCCUCUGGAACUAGAGUUCCAGGCAGUUGUGGGCUGCCAUGUGGAUGCUGCGAAGAGCCGCCAAGUCUUCUGCAGCCCGAACCCAUGUUUUUAUGUUUUAUAGAAACCCAGUGUGGCAUUGUAAGCUUGUAAUCGCAGUGCUGGAUAGACAGAUGAAUGAGUGCUGAAUGCCUAGCUCACCCAGCUUCCUCAGGGACAGCGAGUACCGAUGGCUGGGGGAGUGGCAUUGUAAGACUGAGGAGCCACACCCGAGGUUAUCCUCUGGCCUCCACAUGCACAUGUGCAUACCUGCAUACUCAGAUGUCCAUACACACUCCUCACGCAUGCACACACACACACACACACACACACAUGCUGUUUGAUGUGAAGGCUCUUGUGGGCACUGUUGUUUAAAUUCUUCCUGUGUAGGUGGCCUCCAUGUGGCUUUAGUUUAAAUUGAGGUUUAGAAUGUUGGUUGACUCAGAGGACUUGGUUGAAAUAGACCAGUCCACCUGUCUAACCCAAAGUUGUUCUUAUGUUAGAAACUGGUCUAGUUAAAAUUUGUUUUUACAUAAUGUUUAAAGAGAGCCUUAUCGCAGGGUCUCAGGCAGCCUUCAUCUCAGAGGUCAUACACACAGUGUGUUCUUAAAGGCCAUGUGAACAGCACAUGUUGCUGUUACCAUUCCACAGGUGACCCAAACAAAGCCUAGUGUCCCUGUCCUCUGCUUUCAAGGUCUCCUGAGCAGCAGGUACUGUCAGGUCACUGAAUGAGUGGUGUUUGUACUCAAACUGGCUAAGUAGCCGUCUGAUAGCCAGCAGGAGCACAGACCCAGGAGGUAAGGGCAGGAGACUUUUCUGUACACACCUGGUUUGGGUUUUGUUUUCUUUUUUUUACUACUUCCUUCCUUCCUUCUCUUUUUUAAGACCAGGUCUUACUGUGUGAACCCUGAGUGGCCUAGAACUCACUGAGAUCAUCCACCUUUGCCUCCCAAGGGCUAGGAUUAUUAACGGUGUACACUGCCAUACUCAGCUAAAGAGAAUUGUGCAUUGUUGUUGGUUUGGGGGUUUGGGGUUUUCGUUGGUUGGUUGGUUGGUUUAUUUUGUUUUGAUUUUUAAGAUAGGAUUUCUCUGUGUAGCCUUGGCUGUCCUGAAAUUCUCUCUGUAGAGCAGACUGUCCUUAAACUCAGAGAUCUCCCUGCCUCUGCCUCCUGAAUGCUGGGAUUAAAGGCAUUUGUCACCACCACCAGGCUUAC